Dalotia coriaria is the source of this 1715-nucleotide long non-coding RNA. RefSeq lists it as uncharacterized. Lineage: Eukaryota; Metazoa; Arthropoda; Insecta; Coleoptera; Staphylinidae. The transcript is spliced from 3 exons. The record is from RefSeq and is a predicted model, not a curated record.
AUGCAACGAAAACUGAACUAAGUAUUUAAUGCACGAAUAUGUACAAUAAUUAAUUAUUACUCAUUAGUAGACGGAAGAACAACAUCAGUGUUGUAUUUAUUUAAAGUUACAUCAAUUUUUGGAUAUAUUUUAUGUUGGAAAUAGUGUUCAUAUUAACUGUAAAUUGAAAUAUAAUAUUUUAAUUGUCAUACAUAAUCAUAAAACACAAGUUUCUUGAUUUAUUACGCGUUAGAAAUAUUGUGUUUACUUGCUUAUCGGAAGACAGUGCGUCAACGAACGAAGUUGUUUAUUUCGUGCGAAUAGACGCUGCAUCUCACUUAUACACAAGUGUAUGAAUGCGAACUCAUUGUAAUCUCACCACACCACUACACGAGCAACUGUUUAGUAAAAACAACGAGUUAACUGCAAAGAACUCAGAUGUGAAUUUAAUGCAAAGAAGUGCAUCGUUGCGACAUCUAGGCAUUUACUGGAGAGUCAAACUUAAGUGAGCGAUGAAAAUACAGAGCCACCAGCUUCCGAGGCUUGUAACGACGCCGUCGACACCACAUCGGCGAUCAUGUCUGUCUGCCUGGCGGCGGCGAUGGUGAAGAGCGUCGUGCGUCACUGGAGAUUAUGUACUGUAUUAUAUUUCAGCGAGUCCAUUGUCACUUGCAUAAAUGUAUCAUGUGUGCGAAUUGUGUAAAUUGCCAGAUAUUGAUUAACAACACACGGCGAAUAUUGAAUAUUCAAUGAAUUACGCAAUUUAAACACACAAAAAAUAAAAAAUAAAAUUAAGCAGCUUCAAAGUCAAGACGUAGUAAAAGAUUCAUGUUUAAUGUUUGCUUUGAUGUCUGCUUAACGUCUUCUCCUAUUAAAGAUAAAAUUACUUUUACAGGUAAUUAUGCUAAAACUAGUAGAACCCGUAUAUUGCUUUAUACAUUCGUUCCUAGUCACAUUAAACUCAAAAGAUAAAAGCAACUUUCACAUAUCCCAAUUAAAAUCACCUAGCAACUGCAAAAAUCAUGACUUUUUUGGUUGAAAAUGUCAACCUCUGAGUAAGAUUUUUGAAGUUUUUCGGUUUUUCAAUGCAGUGUGGUAGACUUUAUCUUAUUUUUCAUCAUGACUUUCAUCAUACAUUUCUACACCCGGUGUCAAACCAUCAUUUUACAAUGGUUUCAUGAUGGUACCCUCUUCUCGCGUCUUUUCAUCUGGCUGCUAGCCGUAAAUAUACUGGUAUACUGCAUUUAUAUGAUUCUGCGUCACCUAGUGACCAUCUUUUUGCUCCGCUGGCCCGAAUGGUGGCAGAUAUUCAAAGGACGCGACUACAUCUACAACCUGGAGGAGUGCCCGAUUUGUUUCCAGGACUUUUGUGAUCCGAUACGCCUGCCCUGCGGGCAUGUCAACUGUUUGAAGUGUAUUACUGAUUACUGUCGACAUAUGCAGCACUGCGGUGGGAUUUUAAGGUGUUCUCUGUGUCGCGCACCGAUCAGAGAUAUUCUAUAUCUCGAGGGUUAUACGCCGUCGACGCUUCCCAAUGGGCAAACAACGAAAAAACUCAGCAAACUGCGCAGGUUUAUCGAGAACCCGAGGUAUACCUUUCCGUGGAUCAAUCGCAUCAACGGCUUGUGCUGGGUAAUCUGUUUUAUACUCGUCGUCUACUACAGCUGCAAUUUUUAUUAGCACACAGGAAGAAACAUACUGAAACUGCGAUAAAUAUACUCGUUUGUAUUUUUAAA